Molecule: ribosomal RNA, 501 nt
Filed under: uncultured bacterium
Lineage: Bacteria
Description: partial 16S ribosomal RNA
Rfam family: Bacterial small subunit ribosomal RNA
Source: RNAcentral
AUUGAACGCUGGCGGCAGGCUUAACACAUGCAAGUCGAGCGGAGAGAGGUAGCUUGCUACUGAUCUUAGCGGCGGACGGGUGAGUAAUGCUUAGGAAUCUGCCUAUUAGUGGGGGACAACAUUUCGAAAGGAAUGCUAAUACCGCAUACGUCCUACGGGAGAAAGCAGGGGAUCUUCGGACCUUGCGCUAAUCGAUGAGCCUAAGUCGGAUUAGCUAGUUGGUGGGGUAAAGGCCUGCCAAGGCGACGAUCUGUAGCGGGUCUGAGAGGAUGAUCCGCCACACUGGGACUGAGACACGGCCCAGACUCCUACGGGAGGCAGCAGUGGGGAAUAUUGGACAAUGGGCGGAAGCCUGAUCCAGCCAUGCCGCGUGUGUGAAGAAGGCCUUAUGGUUGUAAAGCACUUUAAGCGAGGAGGAGGCUACUUUAGUUAAUACCUAGAGAUAGUGGACGUUACUCGCAGAAUAAGCACCGGCUAACUCUGUGCCAGCAGCCGCCGUAA